AACGAACGCUGGCGGCAGGCCUAACACAUGCAAGUCGAGCGCCCCGCAAGGGGAGCGGCGGACGGGUGAGUAACGCGUGGGAACGUACCCUUUGCUACGGAAUAGCCUCGGGAAACUGGGAGUAAUACCGUAUGUGCCCUUCGGGGGAAAGAUUUAUCGGCAAAGGAUCGGCCCGCGUUGGAUUAGGUAGUUGGUGGGGUAAUGGCCUACCAAGCCGACGAUCCAUAGCUGGUUUGAGAGGAUGAUCAGCCACACUGGGACUGAGACACGGCCCAGACUCCUACGGGAGGCAGCAGUGGGGAAUCUUAGACAAUGGGCGCAAGCCUGAUCUAGCCAUGCCGCGUGAGCGAUGAAGGCCUUAGGGUUGUAAAGCUCUUUCAGUGGGGAAGAUAAUGACUGUACCCACAGAAGAAGCCCCGGCUAACUCCGUGCCAGCAGCCGCGGUAAAGUAGACGU
RNAcentral lists this ribosomal RNA (456 nucleotides) under uncultured bacterium. Its description in RNAcentral is "bacterial SSU rRNA". It matches the Rfam family "Bacterial small subunit ribosomal RNA", at positions 29 to 532 of the family's 1533-position model. The record is from RNAcentral.